This 215-nucleotide long non-coding RNA is filed under the name Panax ginseng (ginseng). RNAcentral describes it as "long non-coding RNA (PGIN_LNC004838)". The record is from RNAcentral. Lineage: Eukaryota; Viridiplantae; Streptophyta; Magnoliopsida; Apiales; Araliaceae.
CGGAUUGAAUUUUUGUUUAAGAAAAUAUCUUGGUGAAUUUAUAAGUCAAAUUGAAUACUUGGUGUUAACACAAUAUCUCAAGAUGAAACAAAUGUUUAUAUUUUAAUUAUUAAGAAAAUUAACUAUCUUGAGAAAUAUUAAAGUAAAACAAGUAAAAAAAUAACACCAAGAUUUUUUACGUGGUUCAGCUAUUACCCUCUAUAAUAAUAGUCUAG